RNAcentral lists this long non-coding RNA (1898 nucleotides) under Mus musculus (house mouse). RNAcentral's name for it is "long non-coding RNA chr16:44225565-44227463". Lineage: Eukaryota; Metazoa; Chordata; Mammalia; Rodentia; Muridae. The record is from RNAcentral.
AUCCUGUUAGAUCAGUGUGUAGUAGUGAGACCCAGGUUUUACCUCUUGGCAACUCCUAUGCCUCUUUCUUAAAGGGCAACAAUUCCUCAAAAUGCCAUUAGUUUAAAGCUUGACUUAAGAGAUUUUUGUUUGUGGGAAUAACUACAUUCCUUGGCUCGGUGGAUUUUCCCCCUGUGGUGGAAGGAAAGGUAAAGGUGAUGCCAAAAUGAAAUAGCCUUCAGUUCCUGUUGACGUGAGAGUCACAGCAAUCCUGCCAUGUGGUUACUGACUACCUGGAGGAAAUGAGCCUGUGGCUGAUACAUAUGGAGGGCAACGAUUAGCAAAUGACCAGAGACACUAGUGUGGACUUGCUCUCUGGUGGUUUUGCAAUAUGUAUAUGCAAACUAGCUUCUUUGAGAGAUUCCUUUCCAGCUUUGUUUUCCCCAAAGUUCUACCAAAAAGGAAGGUUUUGUGUUUGUUUGUUUACUUUUUUUUUUUUCUUAACUGUGCUCUGUGUUCUGCCCCUGCUGUGCUGAAUUCUCCUGUAGUGUUUUUAGUAGCUCCUGUGGGGCUCGCAACACUCAGAUGGAGCCAGUCCAGACAGGCUGGGAGACCACACCUAGGACCUGGGACUCAGAGCUUCUGCUUCUGUUGACAUGCCUCUGUCCUGGUACUGCACUCCACACGAAACUGUGCCUCUGAUCCUGGGACAUAAUCACCCAGCCAGCCCUGCGUUGCAGCGAAGGAGCUUCAGGGAUGGCACAUGCCCUGUAGCCAGACACCUCAUAGACGACAAGUACAGCUGAUGCUUCUCACUCUUGCCUUAGCACCCCUGAGCCACCGUUGACAGUCACUGGCGAGUUGUGUAGCUGAGCCUGUAAACAGAGCUUAUGUGACAGGCAGUCCUUCAACGUCCUCAUCUCUACAUUUGCAUACACUCUACCUGGUAAUCUUUGCUUUGGGCGCAUGUAAAUUGUCAGGUGCUUCAUAAACACAAGUCAGCCUAGGUUGAGAAGAUUGGGCAAGUUCUUCUGGAUGAAUGUGUAACCUACCACAAGAUUCUAUGAGACAUGGGUAGACCUCUCUUGUAAUGUAGCACACUUAAAAGUUAAAACUCUUUGGGCCCAGUUGUGUGUACAGCUGUACGUGCAUUAUCUACUAGGAAAUUAAAGCUCGACCCGUUUAACUUUGUCCUCACGUUUGCUGAGACAUCUCUGCCCUCCUGCUCUUGAAGUCUUAAAGUCAUUUUCAUCUGCAGGGCCUCUGAGCACAGAGCUUGACUAUAGUGGUGAAUGUGUGGGGUGUUGAACUGUUAGCUUCCAAGAAGGGACCAGACAGUGUGGCUUAAGAUGCUGCAGUCGUGUUACUGUGAAGGAAAAUUCUUCCACUUUCAGCAGGGUGUGUGGGUGUGCGUGUGUGCUCGCAUGUGUGUUCAUUUUGGCUUUUUAAAAAUGUUGAAAAUCGAGGAGAACUUGAUUACCUUCACAGAUUAUUUAUAGAUACACUGGGCGUGAUGCUUACGUAGGCAAGCACCGGGGAACAGGAGUUCAGUGCUCCGGUCAUGUAAUACCUUGUCUAUGCCCCAGCCAGCACUCUGCUGGGCACUGUGUCCUAUAACUGUAAAUCGCCUGGUUUAUAAUGCUAACAGAAACUGGUUUGUUUUGUAAUGGAAUACAAAGAAGAUGUAUAAUAGGACCAGGAUUGUCCCGCACUUGUAAAUAAGAAUGGGCCCUGUUUAUUUUGACAUCUUUUUACAAAUGCAUUGUAUUAGGAUGUGAAUAUUCCAAAACAUGCUCUUGUUUAAAGUUUUGAAAUUUUUAUUGUUAAAUGUAACAUUUUAAUGGUUGUAAUAAUUAUUUGUAUAGACAUGAAUAUAGUAUUUUAUUUAAGAAAAUAAACUUUGCAGUUUUUGCAUUGUG